RNAcentral lists this ribosomal RNA (433 nucleotides) under uncultured bacterium. RNAcentral describes it as "partial 16S ribosomal RNA". It matches the Rfam family "Bacterial small subunit ribosomal RNA", at positions 29 to 507 of the family's 1533-position model. The record is from RNAcentral.
AGCGAACGCUGGCGGCAGGCCUAACACAUGCCAGUCGAACGGAUCCUUCGGGAUUAGUGGCGGACGGGUGAGUAACACGUGGGAACGUGCCCUUUGGUUCGGAACAACUCAGGGAAACUUGAGCUAAUACCGGAUGUGCCCUUCGGGGGAAAGAUUUAUCGCCAUUGGAGCGGCCCGCGUCUGAUUAGCUAGUUGGUGAGGUAACGGCCCACCAAGGCGACGAUCAGUAGCUGGUCUGAGAGGAUGAUCAGCCACACUGGGACUGAGACACGGCCCAGACUCCUACGGGAGGCAGCAGUGGGGAAUCUUGCGCAAUGGGCGAAAGCCUGACGCAGCCAUGCCGCGUGAAUGAUGAAGGUCUUAGGAUUGUAAAAUUCUUUCAGCGGGGACGAUAAUGACGGUACCCGCAGAAGAAGCGCCGGCUAACUUCGUG